CAUGGGGAUAUUUGCUAAAGAUUCAUCGCUGAUAGAUAGGCAUGCGUUCCAUUAGGCAGUUGGCGGGGUAACGGCCCACCAAGCCGACGAUGGAUAGGGGUUCUGAGAGGAAGGUCCCCCACAUUGGUACUGAGACACGGACCAAACUCCUACGGGAGGCAGCAGUGAGGAAUAUUGGUCAAUGGCCGAGAGGCUGAACCAGCCAAGUCGCGUGAGGGAUGAAGGUUCUAUGGAUCGUAAACCUCUUUUAUAAGGGAAUAAAGUGCGGGACGUGUCCCGUUUUGUAUGUACCUUAUGAAUAAGGAUCGGCUAACUCCGUGCCAGCAGCCGCGGUAAUACGGAGGAUCCGAGCGUUAUCCGGAUUUAUUGGGUUUAAAGGGUGCGUAGGCGGCCUUUUAAGUCAGCGGUGAAAGUCUGUGGCUCAACCAUAGAAUUGCCGUUGAAACUGGGGGGCUUGAGUAUGUUUGAGGCAGGCGGAAUGCGUGGUGUAGCGGUGAAAUGCAUAGAUAUCACGCAGAACCCCGAUUGCGAAGGCAGCCUGCCAAGCCAUGACUGACGCUGAUGCACGAAAGCGUGGGGAUCAAACAGGAUUAGAUACCCUGGUAGUCCACGCAGUAAACGAAGA
This 625-nucleotide ribosomal RNA is filed under the name uncultured bacterium. RNAcentral's name for it is "bacterial SSU rRNA". It matches the Rfam family "Bacterial small subunit ribosomal RNA", at positions 187 to 812 of the family's 1533-position model. The record is from RNAcentral.